This 92-nucleotide transfer RNA is filed under the name Bacilli bacterium. RNAcentral describes it as "tRNA-Ser". It matches the Rfam family "tRNA". Rfam says of the family: Transfer RNA (tRNA) molecules are approximately 80 nucleotides in length. Their secondary structure includes four short double-helical elements and three loops (D, anti-codon, and T loops). Further hydrogen bonds mediate the characteristic L-shaped molecular structure. tRNAs have two regions of fundamental functional importance: the anti-codon, which is responsible for specific mRNA codon recognition, and the 3' end, to which the tRNAs corresponding amino acid is attached (by aminoacyl-tRNA synthetases). tRNAs cope with the degeneracy of the genetic code in two manners: having more than one tRNA (with a specific anti-codon) for a particular amino acid; and 'wobble' base-pairing, i.e. permitting non-standard base-pairing at the 3rd anti-codon position. Lineage: Bacteria; Bacillati; Bacillota; Bacilli. The record is from RNAcentral.
GGAGGCGUACCCAAGUGGCUGAAGGGAUCGGUCUUGAAAACCGACAGUGGGGUCCUGCUCCAGCAAGAGUUCGAAUCUCUUCGCCUCCGCCA